RNAcentral lists this ribosomal RNA (354 nucleotides) under uncultured bacterium. RNAcentral describes it as "partial 16S ribosomal RNA". It matches the Rfam family "Bacterial small subunit ribosomal RNA", at positions 338 to 709 of the family's 1533-position model. The record is from RNAcentral.
CCUACGGGAGGCAGCAGUGGGGAAUAUUGCACAAUGGAGGCAACUCUGACGCAGCAACGCCGCGUGGAGGAUGAAGGUUUUCGGAUUGUAAACUCCUUUUGUUAGAGAAGAUCAUGACGGUGUCUAACCAAUAACCACCGGCUACAUCCGUCCCAGCAGCCGCGGUAAUACGGAGGGGGCAAGCGUUACUCGGAGUCACUGGGCGUAAAGAGCGCGUAGGCGGGAUAGAAAGUCAGAUGUGAAAUCCUAUGGCUUAACCAUAGAACUGCAGUUGAAACUGUUAUUCUAGAGUAUGGGAGAGGUAGGUGGAAUUCUUGGUGUAGGGGUAGAAUGCGUAGAUAUCAAGAGGAAUAC